Molecule: transfer RNA, 60 nt
Filed under: Laemobothrion sp.
Lineage: Eukaryota; Metazoa; Arthropoda; Insecta; Psocodea; Laemobothriidae
Description: tRNA-Ala
Source: RNAcentral
UGGGUAGAAAUCUUAUUUUGCACAUAAGAAUGUGGAGACCUAUUAAAUCUCCCUACCUAA